CGGAUAUGAAACUCGUUCUGGAAAGAAUUGUUUCUCAAAGGCAACGCUUAAGGAUGAGUCAGCGGCCGAUUAGAUAGUUGGUGGGGUAAAGGCCCACCAAGUCCGCGAUCGGUAGGGGCCCUGAGAGGGGUAGCCCCGAGAAGGGAACUGAGACACGGUCCCUAGCCCUACGGGGUGCAGCAGGCGCGAAAACUUUGCAAUGCACGAAAGUGUGACAAGGGAACCCCGAGUGCUCAGCCAUGCUGGGCUUUUGCCAAGAUUAAAACCCUUGGCGAAUAAGUGGUGGGUAAGACGGGUGCCAGCCGCCGCGGUAACACCCGCGCCACAAGUGGCAAUCAGUGUUAUUGGGCCUAAAGCGUCCGUAGCAGGUUUUGUAAAUCUUUUGUGAAAUUGUUGCGCUCAACGUAACAACGUGCAAGAGACACUGCAGAACUUGGGACCGGGAGGAGUCAGAGGUAUUUCUUGGGGAGCGGUAAAAUGCUAUAAUCCAAGAAGGACCACCUAUGGCGAAGGCAUCUGACUAGAACGGAUCCGACUGUGAGGGACGAAAGCUGGGGGAGCGAACCGGAUUAGAUACCCGAGUAGUCCUAGCUGUAAACGCUGCGAGCUAGGUGUUGCGCAAUCUUAGAGAUUGCGCAGUAUCGGAGCGAAGGUGUUAAGCUCGCCGCCUGGGAAUUACGGUCGCAAGGCUGAAACUUAAAGGAAUUGGCGGGGGAGCACUACAAGGGGUGCGGCGUGCGGUUUAAUUUAACUCUACUCAGAGAAUCUCACCAGGAGCGACGGCACUGUGAAAGUCAGAUUAAAGGUUUUACUUGAGGAGCCGAGAGGUGG
Molecule: ribosomal RNA, 831 nt
Filed under: uncultured archaeon
Lineage: Archaea
Description: bacterial SSU rRNA
Rfam family: Archaeal small subunit ribosomal RNA
Source: RNAcentral